Long non-coding RNA from Camelus dromedarius (Arabian camel), 970 nucleotides. RefSeq lists it as uncharacterized. The transcript is spliced from 2 exons. Lineage: Eukaryota; Metazoa; Chordata; Mammalia; Artiodactyla; Camelidae. The record is from RefSeq and is a predicted model, not a curated record.
UGUGCUAUGAAGCUCACCUUCUGGUCACAGCAUCUGCCAAUCAACCUGUGGAUGGACCAGGGCUGCCAUCUUCCCGGGAGACCGUUUCUGCUCUUUCGCCGUACGGCCUCUGUCAUUGGCCAGGACGGCCUCGUUUCAGCCGGAACUCGGAAAUCAGUCACACUUGCAAACGGAAUUAAGAUUCAACUCUGCUACUUAAAUCGUCCCACCGAAUCUUCAACUCCCUUUACAGCCUAGGAAACAGCCUUGACAAGGUGAAGAAUAUCACUCCUGGCCCACACAUUUGGUUUGCUGUGGAGCAAAACAAAGUUGUCUGAAAGCCUUCCCUGAGCACCCCUAUCAAACGUAGAAUCUCCCCUUGUCUGUCCUCUUAUGCUAUUGUUUUCUUCCUAACACUCUUAGGGCUACUUGACAUCCUGUUUAUUUUAGUUUAUUUCUGCUCCUGUAGAAUGUUCUUUCCACAAGAGCAGGGACUUUUGUUGUAUUUUCCACACCUAAAAUAGUGCCUGCCAUUUGGAAUGAACCAAGGAAUGACUAGGAGGAACUUUUGAGCUGAGAUCUGAUUGAAGUUAGGAAUCGAGCCAGGAGUUACCUGUGGAAGAGAAUUCCAGAUAGAAGGAACAGCAAAGGCAAAGCCUGGAAGCAGAUGUGUACUAGAAAUGGCCAAGGAGCCAGUGUGACUGGAACAGAGGUUGUAAGGGAGACAAUACUCAGAGAUGAGAUGAGGUGAGAGAGAGGACGCAGAACCCCUAAAGCCUCAGAGCCCACAGCAGGACUUAGGAUUUUAUUCGGAGACUGAGAGAAACUAUGGGAGAGUUGUUUUAAUUUCUUUUUUUUAACAGCUUUAUUGAGAUAUUUUUGACCCAUAACAAUUGUAUAUAUUUAAAGUGUACAGCUUGAUGUUUUAAUAUAUGUAUACAGUGUGAAAAGAGCACCACAAUUAAGCUAAUUUACAUAUUCGUCACCUCUA